This 479-nucleotide ribosomal RNA is filed under the name Escherichia coli. RNAcentral's name for it is "partial 23S ribosomal RNA". It matches the Rfam family "Bacterial large subunit ribosomal RNA", at positions 1411 to 1875 of the family's 2925-position model. The record is from RNAcentral. Lineage: Bacteria; Pseudomonadati; Pseudomonadota; Gammaproteobacteria; Enterobacterales; Enterobacteriaceae.
GUAGUCGAUGGGAAACAGGUUAAUAUUCCUGUACUUGGUGUUACUGCGAAGGGGGGACGGAGAAGGCUAUGUUGGCCGGGCGACGGUUGUCCCGGUUUAAGCGUGUAGGCUGGUUUUCCAGGCAAAUCCGGAAAACCAAGGCUGAGGCGUGAUGACGAGGCACUACGGUGCUGAAGCGACAAAUGCCCUGCUUCCAGGAAAAGCCUCUAAGCAUCAGGUAACAUCAAAUCGUACCCCAAACCGACACAGGUGGUCAGGUAGAGAAUACCAAGGCGCUUGAGAGAACUCGGGUGAAGGAACUAGGCAAAAUGGUGCCGUAACUUCGGGAGAAGGCACGCUGAUAUGUAGGUGAAGCGACUUGCUCGUGGAGCUGAAAUCAGUCGAAGAUACCAGCUGGCUGCAACUGUUUAUUAAAAACACAGCACUGUGCAAACACGAAAGUGGACGUAUACGGUGUGACGCCUGCCCGGUGCCGGAAG